Molecule: ribosomal RNA, 477 nt
Filed under: uncultured bacterium
Lineage: Bacteria
Description: partial 16S ribosomal RNA
Rfam family: Bacterial small subunit ribosomal RNA
Source: RNAcentral
GAUUAACGCUGGCGGCGUGCAUAACACACGCAAGUCGAACGAUGAAACUUUUUUGAUUUCUUCGGAAUGAUUAAAAGUGGAUUAGUGGCGGACGGGUGAGUAACGCGUGAGUAACCUGCCUUAGAGAAGGGGAUAGCCUUUGGAAACGAAGAAUAAUACCCUAUGAAACCAUAACCUCGCAUGAGGAAUUGGUCAAAGAUUUAUCGCUCUAAGAUGGACUUGCGUCUGAUUAGUUAGUUGGUGGGGUAACGGCCCACCAAGACAGCGAUCAGUAGCCGGCUUGAGAGAGUGUACGGCCACAUUGGGACUGAGACACGGCCCAGACUCCUACGGGAGGCAGCAGUGGGGAAUUUUGCACAAUGGGGGAAACCCUGAUGCAGCGACGCCGCGUGAUUUAGAAGGCCUUCGGGUUGUAAAAAUCUUUUCUAUGGGAAGAAAAUGACAGUACCAUAGGAAUAAGGACCGGCUAAUUACGUG